UACGUAGGGGGCAAGCGUUGUCCGGAUUUAUUGGGCGUAAAGAGCGUGUAGGCGGCCAGACAGGUCCGUUGUGAAAACUCGAGGCUCAACCUCGAGACGCCGAUGGAAACCGUCUGGCUAGAGUCCGGAAGAGGAGAGUGGAAUUCCUGGUGUAGCGGUGAAAUGCGCAGAUAUCAGGAGGAACACCGAUGGCGAAGGCAGGUCUCUGGGCCGAUACUGACGCUGAGGAGCGAAAGCGUGGGGAGCGAACAGG
RNAcentral lists this ribosomal RNA (253 nucleotides) under uncultured bacterium. RNAcentral's name for it is "partial 16S ribosomal RNA". It matches the Rfam family "Bacterial small subunit ribosomal RNA", at positions 524 to 776 of the family's 1533-position model. The record is from RNAcentral.